This 1439-nucleotide ribosomal RNA is filed under the name uncultured organism. RNAcentral describes it as "16S ribosomal RNA". It matches the Rfam family "Bacterial small subunit ribosomal RNA". The record is from RNAcentral.
GACGAACGCUGGCGGCGUGCUUAACACAUGCAAGUCGAACGGAAAGGCCCUGCUUUUGUGGGGUGCUCGAGUGGCGAACGGGUGAGUAACACGUGAGUAACCUGCCCUUGACUUUGGGAUAACUUCAGGAAACUGGGGCUAAUACCGGAUAGGAGCUCCUGCUGCAUGGUGGGGGUUGGAAAGUUUCGGCGGUUGGGGAUGGACUCGCGGCUUAUCAGCUUGUUGGUGGGGUAGUGGCUUACCAAGGCUUUGACGGGUAGCCGGCCUGAGAGGGUGACCGGCCACAUUGGGACUGAGAUACGGCCCAGACUCCUACGGGAGGCAGCAGUGGGGAAUAUUGCACAAUGGGCGGAAGCCUGAUGCAGCAACGCCGCGUGCGGGAUGACGGCCUUCGGGUUGUAAACCGCUUUCGCCUGUGACGAAGCGUGAGUGACGGUAAUGGGUAAAGAAGCACCGGCUAACUACGUGCCAGCAGCCGCGGUGAUACGUAGGGUGCGAGCGUUGUCCGGAUUUAUUGGGCGUAAAGGGCUCGUAGGUGGUUGAUCGCGUCGGAAGUGUAAUCUUGGGGCUUAACCCUGAGCGUGCUUUCGAUACGGGUUGACUUGAGGAAGGUAGGGGAGAAUGGAAUUCCUGGUGGAGCGGUGGAAUGCGCAGAUAUCAGGAGGAACACCAGUGGCGAAGGCGGUUCUCUGGGCCUUUCCUGACGCUGAGGAGCGAAAGCGUGGGGAGCGAACAGGCUUAGAUACCCUGGUAGUCCACGCUGUAAACGGUGGAUACUAGGUGUGGGGUCCAUUCCACGGGUUCCGUGCCGUAGCUAACGCUUUAAGUACCCCGCCUGGGGAGUACGGCCGCAAGGCUAAAACUCAAAGGAAUUGACGGGGCCCCGCACAAGCGGCGGAGCAUGCGGAUUAAUUCGAUGCAACGCGUAGAACCUUACCUGGGUUUGACAUGGAUCGGGAGUGCUCAGAGAUGGGUGUGCCUCUUUUGGGGUCGGUUCACAGGUGGUGCAUGGCUGUCGUCAGCUCGUGUCGUGAGAUGUUGGGUUAAGUCCCGCAACGAGCGCAACCCUUGUUCACUGUUGCCAGCACGUUAUGGUGGGGACUCAGUGGAGACCGCCGGGGUCAACUCGGAGGAAGGUGGGGAUGACGUCAAGUCAUCAUGCCCCUUAUGUCCAGGGCUUCACGCAUGCUACAAUGGCUGGUACAGAGAGUGGCGAGCCUGUGAGGGUGAGCGAAUCUCGGAAAGCCGGUCUCAGUUCGGAUUGGGGUCUGCAACUCGACCUCAUGAAGUCGGAGUCGCUAGUAAUCGCAGAUCAGCAACGCUGCGGUGAAUACGUUCCCGGGGCUUGUACACACCGCCCGUCAAGUCAUGAAAGUUGGUAACACCCGAAGCCGGUGGCCUAACCGUUGUGGGGGAGCCGUCGAAGGUGGGACUGGUGA